CUACGGGGGGCUGCAGGCGAGAAAACUUUGCAAUGUGCGAAAGCACGACAAGGUUAAUCCGAGUGGUUUCUGCUAAAGGAACCUUUUGUCAGUCCUAGAAACACUGAUGAAUAAGGGGUGGGCAAGUUCUGGUGUCAGCCGCCGCGGUAAAACCAGCACCUCAAGUGGUCAGGAUGAUUAUUGGGCCUAAAGCAUCCGUAGCCGGCUCUGUAAGUUUUCGGUUAAAUCUGUACGCUCAACGUACAGGCUGCCGGGAAUACUGCAGAGCUAGGGAGUGGGAGAGGUAGACGGUACUCGGUAGGAAGGGGUAAAAUCCUUUGAUCUAUUGAUGACCACCUGUGGCGAAGGCGGUCUACCAGAACACGUCCGACGGUGAGGGAUGAAAGCUGGGGGAGCAAACCGGAUUAGAUACCCCAGUAGUC
Molecule: ribosomal RNA, 422 nt
Filed under: uncultured archaeon
Lineage: Archaea
Description: partial 16S ribosomal RNA
Rfam family: Archaeal small subunit ribosomal RNA
Source: RNAcentral